GAAAGUACGAACAUCUGUACUGAAUACCCGCGGCAAUAAAAAUUUAUCAUCGAUAUUCCAUAUUAGCACACAAUAUAUAUUUCAGGAAACUGGUGUCAUAUCGCGAGAUGACUAUUUAGAUGAAGAAGGUUGUAAUUUCUUCUAGUUAGAUUUUGUCAAGAAAAGAGUUUUCACAAUGCAUUUUAUGAUACGAACAUUUAUUUACACUAUUAUUUUUGUGGUUUUUAUUCUAAGUAUUGUAACAAAACCUAAAAACUCAUCAAUGUUAAAUAUUGAUAACCAUGCAGUCGUUAACGAAGAAAUAAACAUUUAUGAUAAUAAAUCGAUAAAUAAUACGAAUACGAUAGAAAACGCACAUUUUGAAAAACAGUAUUAUAAUAAUGACAUAUUGGAUUGGGCUCUUAUAUAUAGUGCAUUUAAGAUGGCCUUAAAAUUACUUUCUAUAAUGCUUCCUUUAGCAUACGUAUUUUAUAUAAUUUUAGUUCAUAAAUGUAAGAUUUGGGAUGGACAAUUACUAAAACGACAUUGCUAUUAUAUUAUCAAUUUUUUCUUUUGGUGUUGUCGUAUUCCUAUCUAUUUAAACGCUGAUAAUAAUAAUUCAAACCGUGCGCCUGAUUACGUUGCCACUUAUCGAGCAGAGUCAUACACUAUAUAUAACACAAACGAUGCUUCAAUAGAGGAUGUUUAAUUUGAAAUUUUGCAUUGAUAUUAUUGUAAAAAAACUGAUUUAAGGAUUGAUAAUAAUUCUAUAAGUAUACAAUUAUAAUUUUUAAGAUAU
This is a long non-coding RNA of Nylanderia fulva, 778 nucleotides long. RefSeq lists it as uncharacterized. The record is from RefSeq and is a predicted model, not a curated record. Lineage: Eukaryota; Metazoa; Arthropoda; Insecta; Hymenoptera; Formicidae.